GAUGAACGCUGGCGGCGUGCCUAAUACAUGCAAGUCGAGCGAACGGACGAGAAGCUUGCUUCUCUGAUGUUAGCGGCGGACGGGUGAGUAACACGUGGAUAACCUACCUAUAAGACUGGGAUAACUUCGGAAAACCGUAUCUAAUACCGGAUAAUAUUUUGAACCGCAUGGUUCAAAAGUGAAGGACGGUCUUGCUGUCACUUAUAGAUGGAUCCGCGCUGCAUUAGCUAGUUGGUAAGGUAACGGCUUACCAAGGCAACGAUGCAUAGCCGACCUGAGAGGGUGAUCGGCCACACUGGAACGGAGACACGGUCCAGACUCCUACGGGAGGCAGCAGUAGGGAAUCUUCCGCAAUGGGCGAAAGCCUGACGGAGCAACGCCGCGUGAGUGAUGAAGGUCUUCGGAUCGUAAAACUCUGUUAUUAGGGAAGAACAUAUGUGUAAGUAACUGUGCACAUCUUGACGGUACCUAAUCAGAAAGCCACGGCUAACUACGUG
This 497-nucleotide ribosomal RNA is filed under the name uncultured bacterium. Its description in RNAcentral is "partial 16S ribosomal RNA". It matches the Rfam family "Bacterial small subunit ribosomal RNA", at positions 28 to 507 of the family's 1533-position model. The record is from RNAcentral.